AGGAUAUAGGUUUUCUGGUUUAUUUUUGAAAGCAAAAAGCAUAUUUAAAGGUUAACUAAAAACGCACUGGAUUUACAAAAAAGAAAAAUGAUAUGUCUGAAUAGGAGUCAUUAUUUUAAGACUAAAAAAAGAGAAUCAAAUGAAGAAAUGCUGGAAAAUUGGAAUCACUUCCAAAUUGCUCUAUUUAAUUUUACCAUAAGCAUAAUAGUGGGUGAAGUUCAGCUAAAGAUAGGGGCAUGAAAAAAAUGUGAUUUGGUAUUGCUCUUUAGGGAGGCAAAUUAAUUACAAAUUAAGACCAUCUGGGUUAAAGAAUGAAUUGUCACCUUUUAAGAACCAGGAAUAAAGGUAAAUGUUCACUUUAAAACAAAGGGAGAAAGAACAUGAGAAAAAUCAAGAGUAAAUCCGUACAAUAUUACAUACACACAAAUUGGGGGAAAUAAACAUUGGCAUGGAAAUGCCACAAAAUAAAAUACCUAUGGAAUGUAAAAGUCAACUAUGGUCACUGAAUAUUGAACCCAAAGUUAUUGGGGAAGGUAGAAUUUCCUUGUAUUUCUUUCCCAGGGCACUGGGGAGGGAAGUUGGGGAUAAUCGGCUUCAGGAACUUGAACUCAUUGGUCCCUGAGCCUCCUGCCAGACACACCUCAUACUGGUAGCUCUGGGAUAGGGUCCUGGUGCCGCUCAUGUCCACAAGAUGCCCUGGAAGGGGGCCCUCGGGCACCAAGCAGCGACCCACCGAGGCCGCCCUGCUCCUCCUACACAGCCGCACCGCCACGAACAGGAGCACCGAAAAGAGGAAGAGCGAAGACACCGAGGCCAACGCCACCACCAGGUAGACGGUGAGCAAGUCGGCCUGGGCCUGGGUCGGGGCCGCCUCCGGGAGAGGCAGGUAGGGCUGGGAGAAGCCGUCCACCAGGAGCACGUGCAGCGUGGCGGUGGCCGAGCGCGGAGGCUCGCCAUUGUCCUUGACCAGCACCACCAGCCUGUGCUUGGCCGCGUCGCGCUCGCUCAGCAGCCUGGCGGUGCGCACCUCGCCAUUGUGCGCCCACACGCCGAACAGACCGAGCUCCGUGGCCUUGAGCAGCUGGUACGACAGCCAGGCGUUCUGGCCCGAGUCGCCGUCCACCGCCACCACCUUGGUCACCAGGUAGCCCGGCUCGGCCGCCCGGGGCACCAGCUCGGUGCAGGGCGCGGAGCCGUUCUGCAGCGGGUACAGCACGAAGGGCGAGUUGUCGUUGGCGUCCAGCACCACCACGCGGGGCGGCAGCAGCGAGUAGGUGACCUGGGCGUUGGUGCCUGAGUCUCUGUCUGUAGCGCUGACGCUGCGGAUGUGCAGGGCGGGGCUGUUGUUCUCGCGGACGAACAGGGUGUAGGAGGUUUGGGUGAAGGCGGGAGCGUUGUCAUUGACAUCGGCGAUCAGCACGGUCAUAUUGAGCUGUGUUAUCAGCAUAGGGGUCCCCAAGUCAGUGACAGUGAUAGUGAUGUUGUAUUCCGCUCUGCUUUCUCUGUCUAGUGGUCUCUCCGUUAGUAGGGUGUAAAAGUUUUCCGCGGAUUUCAGGAGGAAGGGUAGAUCCUCCUGAAUGGAGCAACUAAUUUUCCCAUUUUCUCCUGAAUCAAGAUCUGAAACACUGAAAAGUGCAACCACAGUUUCAGGCGCGUUCUCAGGUAUUGGGCUGGUAAAUGCAGACAUGGUAACUUCUGGGGCAUGGUCGUUCACAUCUAUCACUUGAAUCAGAACGGUGCAUUUUCCAGAAAAGGUUCCAGCAUCUCUUGCCUCAAUAUUGACUUCAUAGGACUGAAGUUUUUCGAAAUCGAGUUGUUUUUUUAGUUCAAUUUCUCCUGUCAAGGGAUUGAUCUUAAAGGUUUUGCCAAUCUCUUCUGAAGCUUGGAAAAGUGAAUAGGAAAUCUCUCCGUUGACUCCUGUGUCUACAUCCGUGGCAGAGACCUUCACAACCAGGAAGCCUACCGGACUGUCCUCAGAGAUCUGCACUCUAUAGAAAGGCUGCUCAAAUUCAGGGGCAUUAUCGUUGACAUCCAGGACUUCGAUGUAGACCUGAGCAGUGCCAGAUCUGGGCGGAGAGCCACCAUCCAGUGCUGUGAGUGUUAACCUGAGCUCAGCUUCUUCCUCUCGGUCCAGCGCUUUGUCCAGCACCAGCUCUGGGUAUUUCCUGCCAUCACUGCGUUUGCGGGUGAGGACCCGAAAAUAGGAGUUGGGGCUGAUUAUAUAGUUCUCAAUAUUGUUUUGGCCUACAUCUAAGUCUUCGGCAUUCUUCAGAGGAAACGUAGUCCCAGGAGGACUGCUCUCUGAUACUUUCACCAACAUUUGUUUGUCCAGAAAUACUGGAGAGUGGUCGUUUAUGUCUAUUACUUGCAGCUCAGCUUGAAAAAACUCGAAGGGACUCUCUAGCAACACUUGGAAACGUAGCACACAGGGCUCUGUGUGACCGCACAGAUCCUCACGGUCCAAUUUCUCAUUUAGCAACAAAUCCGCGGUCUCCUGAUUGAGCUGCAAAUGUAGUUUGUUCCCUCUGGAAACAACCCUAACCCCCCGCCUGGAGAAUUCCCUCUGCUCCAGACCCAGGUCCUUUGCUAAAUUGGUGACAAAGGAGCUGCCCUCAGUUUCCUCCACCACAGAAUAGCUUCUAGGUUCCGCCGCGCCCGCCAGAGAUAAGCCCAAAAGGAGAAAGGAAAAAAGGACUUGCCUUUGUCUGCAAAUGAGCUUCCCGCUGGCCUCCAUUGUUCUUGCUGGAUUCAGCUUCCUGGGAGGACGGUUCUGUGGGACUGUAAAGUCCCCAGUAUCUGAGGCUGUGGUUAUUCUACAGAUACCUCAGAAAUAUGCCAGUGAGUAGUCCUCUCCAGAGGACCCAGCCGUCCUCCCUUUGGCAUCCAAGCUCCCCGUGGACUUCCAGGUUCUGCUGCUUUUU
RNAcentral lists this long non-coding RNA (2921 nucleotides) under Homo sapiens (human). Its description in RNAcentral is "non-protein coding lnc-TAF7-4:1". The record is from RNAcentral. Lineage: Eukaryota; Metazoa; Chordata; Mammalia; Primates; Hominidae.